Molecule: long non-coding RNA, 363 nt
Organism: Sinocyclocheilus anshuiensis
Lineage: Eukaryota; Metazoa; Chordata; Actinopteri; Cypriniformes; Cyprinidae
Exons: 3
Source: RefSeq, a predicted model, not a curated record
AUAACUCAGAAUCUUUUAAGAGCCAUUUCCCCUUGCAAAAACUUUGAAUACAACUCCGAAUGAGAAAGAAAUGCAUACAGCUGUCCAGUCGCAGUGUGACCCUAAAUGUUGUCCAAAUCCUGUGGUAACAAGCCUGAACGUAGUUAAAGCAAGCAAAACAUUUUGGGGAACCAUGCCAAAUGAGGGGCAACAGCAGUUGCUAAACAAUGCUUUGGAUGUCGAAAAGUGCAAAGACGAGCCAUUGGCAACUGCAUAUAACACAAUGCUAAAACGAUCAGACCUGUGCUGUCUGGGACUGGAAAAAGACAUUGAGGGAACGGUACACAGUUCAAAGACAUUAUAUUUGAAUAUAGCAAUUAAUGG